RNAcentral lists this ribosomal RNA (497 nucleotides) under uncultured bacterium. Its description in RNAcentral is "partial 16S ribosomal RNA". It matches the Rfam family "Bacterial small subunit ribosomal RNA", at positions 28 to 507 of the family's 1533-position model. The record is from RNAcentral.
GAUGAACGCUGGCGGCGUGCCUAAUACAUGCAAGUCGAGCGAACAGAUAAGGAGCUUGCUCCUUUGACGUUAGCGGCGGACGGGUGAGUAACACGUGGGUAACCUAUCUAUAAGACUGGAAUAACUCCGGGAAACCGGGGCUAAUGCCGGAUAACAUGUUGAACCGCAUGGUUCUACAGAGAAAGGCGGCUUUGCUGUCACUUAUAGAUGGACCCGCGCCGGAUUAGCUAGUUGGUGAGGUAACGGCUCACCAAGGCAACGAUACGUAGCCGACCUGAGAGGGUGAUCAGCCACACUGGAACUGAGACACGGUCCAGACUCCUACGGGAGGCAGCAGUAGGGAAUCUUCCGCAAUGGGCGAAAGCCUGACGGAGCAACGCCGCGUGAGUGAUGAAGGUCUUCGGAUCGUAAAACUCUGUUAUUAGGGAAGAACAAAUGCGUAAGUAACUGUGCGCGUCUUGACGGUACCUAAUCAGAAAGCCACGGCUAACUACGUG